This 299-nucleotide ribosomal RNA is filed under the name Bacillus sp. NN2.2. RNAcentral describes it as "partial 16S ribosomal RNA". It matches the Rfam family "Bacterial small subunit ribosomal RNA", at positions 82 to 357 of the family's 1533-position model. Lineage: Bacteria; Bacillati; Bacillota; Bacilli; Caryophanales; Bacillaceae. The record is from RNAcentral.
UCCUUUGACGUUAGCGGCGGACGGGUGAGUAACACGUGGGCAACCUACCCUAUAGUUUGGGAUAACUCCGGGAAACCGGGGCUAAUACCGAAUAAUCUCUUUUGCUUCAUGGUGAAAGACUGAAAGACGGUUUCGGCUGUCGCUAUAGGAUGGGCCCGCGGCGCAUUAGCUAGUUGGUGAGGUAACGGCUCACCAAGGCGACGAUGCGUAGCCGACCUGAGAGGGUGAUCGGCCACACUGGGACUGAGACACGGCCCAGACUCCUACGGGAGGCAGCAGUGGUCAUAGCUGGUUUCCUG